RNAcentral lists this ribosomal RNA (715 nucleotides) under Thauera sp. 53. RNAcentral describes it as "bacterial SSU rRNA". It matches the Rfam family "Bacterial small subunit ribosomal RNA", at positions 40 to 748 of the family's 1533-position model. Lineage: Bacteria; Pseudomonadati; Pseudomonadota; Betaproteobacteria; Rhodocyclales; Zoogloeaceae. The record is from RNAcentral.
CGGCAUGCUUUACACAUGCAAGUCGAACGGCAGCGGGGGGCUUCGGCCUGCCGGCGAGUGGCGAACGGGUGAGUAAUGCAUCGGAACGUGCCCAUGUCGUGGGGGAUAACGUAUCGAAAGGUACGCUAAUACCGCAUACGUCCUGAGGGAGAAAGCGGGGGAUCGCAAGACCUCGCGCGAUUGGAGCGGCCGAUGUCGGAUUAGCUAGUAGGUGAGGUAAAGGCUCACCUAGGCGACGAUCCGUAGCGGGUCUGAGAGGAUGAUCCGCCACACUGGGACUGAGACACGGCCCAGACUCCUACGGGAGGCAGCAGUGGGGAAUUUUGGACAAUGGGGGCAACCCUGAUCCAGCCAUGCCGCGUGAGUGAAGAAGGCCUUCGGGUUGUAAAGCUCUUUCGGCCGGGAAGAAAUCGUGUUCUCUAACAUAGGACAUGGAUGACGGUACCGGACUAAGAAGCACCGGCUAACUACGUGCCAGCAGCCGCGGUAAUACGUAGGGUGCGAGCGUUAAUCGGAAUUACUGGGCGUAAAGCGUGCGCAGGCGGUUUUGUAAGACAGAUGUGAAAUCCCCGGGCUUAACCUGGGAACUGCGUUUGUGACUGCAAGGCUAGAGUACGGCAGAGGGGGGUGGAAUUCCUGGUGUAGCAGUGAAAUGCGUAGAUAUCAGGAGGAACACCGAUGGCGAAAGCAGCCCCCUGGGCCUGUACUGACGCUC